AUCAUCCUUGUCUUUGGGGAGCAUAGUGUUCAAUGACCGUAUAGUGAGGGCACUGAUGCUGAAACCAUAAACAAAAAUAUAACCGCAUCCGUUAGGUUUGCCAUACGGUGACUUUGACGGGAUGCAAUUUUUGCAAGC
RNAcentral lists this non-coding RNA (138 nucleotides) under Neodiprion lecontei (redheaded pine sawfly). RNAcentral's name for it is "U4atac minor spliceosomal RNA". It matches the Rfam family "U4atac minor spliceosomal RNA". Rfam says of the family: U4atac is an essential component of the minor U12-type spliceosome complex which is required for removal of the rarer class of eukaryotic introns (AT-AC, U12-type). These interacting stem loops have been shown to be required for in vivo splicing. Lineage: Eukaryota; Metazoa; Arthropoda; Insecta; Hymenoptera; Diprionidae. The record is from RNAcentral. RNAcentral also lists the same sequence under 1 other name.